Long non-coding RNA from Hippopotamus amphibius kiboko, 1146 nucleotides. RefSeq lists it as uncharacterized. The transcript has 3 exons. The record is from RefSeq and is a predicted model, not a curated record. NCBI's taxonomy places the organism in Eukaryota, Metazoa, Chordata, Mammalia, Artiodactyla, Hippopotamidae.
UCAAGUGUCCCUGCGAGGUUCAAUCCUCGCGCGUGUGGUCGAGAUUCUUGAUGCUCCCGGAAAUAUGUUAUUCAUCCUUUCUUUCGACAGUUAUCUCGUGAUUUCUUGCUAUGUGCCAAGCACUGCUGUAAAUGCUAAGAAGACAACAGUGAACAAAACAGACAAAAAUCCUUGUCCCCAUGGAGUGGACAUUCGAGUUGGGGAAGGCAGAUAAUCAAAUAAGACUGAAUACUUAAGCCUGGAAGACAGCCUCUCAGAGAGCUCUGGGGGAUUGCGCCAAAGAGGGGACAUGGGUUCGAGCCCUGGUCCGGGAAGAUGCUACAUGCCGCAGAGCAGCUAAGCCCGUGAGCCACAACUACUGAAACCCGCACACCUAGAGCCCGUGCUCCGCAACAAGAGAAACCACCACAAUGAGAAGCCUGUGCACCACAAUGAAGGGUAGCUCCUGCUUGCUGCAACUAGAGAAAGCCCACGCACAGCAACGAAGACCCAAUGCAGCCAAUUAAUUAAUUAAUUAAUUUAAAAAAUAGAAAAUUAUUUGUGGGAAGACAUUCGGGAACCUUUUUGUAACCUUGAAAAUGUUGAAGUAUGUGGGCCGAGCGAUGGGAUUCAGGGUGUCCUGCUUGAGCGGUGGAGGAGCUGAGGGUGCGGGGCGUGGAGACUAAUAUCACCCUGUUUGGUCCUGAAGGAUGGCUGGUUAGCCAAAGACGGGUAAGAUUCCUCAGAGGAGGAACAACCUAAGACAGGCACAGCCGCAGAGGGGCCAACAGGGGUGGUGCAUAGAACCUUCCUUAUAUCACCGUGUUUGGCCCUGGAGGAUGACUGGUUAGCCAGAGACGGGUAAGAUUCCUCAAGGGAGGAACAACCUAAGACAGGCACAGUCGCAGAGGGGCCAACACGGGUGGGGCACAGACCCUUAAUCCUUUAGAGAGAGGUCUCCUGCCCCCAGGGCUGUUCUGCUCUCCACCCCCAGCUCAAAUCCACACCUGCUCAACUCGGACCCAGGAAGUAAACAAAGAUAAUUGCCUCAGUCAUGUGAGGCCCUUGAUUGUUUAUGAGUGUAACCUGAGAAUGUUAGCCCACGAACUCAAUAAAAGCAACCUGGGAUGAGUCAGCAGGGCUCUUGAUCCGAGAGGUCUUGAGCCC